Molecule: small RNA, 102 nt
Filed under: Serratia sp. DD3
Lineage: Bacteria; Pseudomonadati; Pseudomonadota; Gammaproteobacteria; Enterobacterales; Yersiniaceae
Description: OmrA-B family
Rfam family: OmrA-B family
Source: Rfam by way of RNAcentral
CCCAGAGGUAUUGAUUGGUGAACAUCAGCAAGUUGCUUGUUGAAACUGUUUGUUGAAACCAUCUUGAUUACACCAACCUACGCAAAUGCGUAGGUUUUUUUU